Pelobates cultripes (western spadefoot toad) is the source of this 315-nucleotide non-coding RNA. NCBI's taxonomy places the organism in Eukaryota, Metazoa, Chordata, Amphibia, Anura, Pelobatidae. The record is from the annotation of a GenBank genome assembly.
AUUUAAAGGGACACUAUAGUCACCAAAACAACUUUAGCUUAAUUAAGUAGUUUGGGAGUGUAGAUCAAGCCCCUGCAGUCUCACUGCUCACUUCUCUGCCAUUUGGGAGUUAAAGCACUUUGUUUAUGCAGCCCUAGUCACACAUCCAUGCAUGUGACUUACACAGCCUUCCAACACUUCCUGCAAAGAGUCAUCUAAUGUUUACACUUCCUGUAUGGAAAAUACUGUUUAAUUUAGAAUUUCUUAUCUUCUGCUCUGUUAAUAGCUUUCUAUGCCCUGCAGAAGCCUCUUGUAUGUAAUUAAAGAUCAAUUUAC